Molecule: non-coding RNA, 72 nt
Organism: Papaver somniferum (opium poppy)
Lineage: Eukaryota; Viridiplantae; Streptophyta; Magnoliopsida; Ranunculales; Papaveraceae
Source: the annotation of a RefSeq genome assembly
GAAUCUGUGGCGCAGUGGUAGCGCGUCUGACUAUGUGUCAGAAGGUUGCGUGUUCGAAUCACGUCAUAUUCA